This 465-nucleotide ribosomal RNA is filed under the name Vreelandella stevensii. RNAcentral describes it as "partial 16S ribosomal RNA". It matches the Rfam family "Bacterial small subunit ribosomal RNA", at positions 338 to 795 of the family's 1533-position model. Lineage: Bacteria; Pseudomonadati; Pseudomonadota; Gammaproteobacteria; Oceanospirillales; Halomonadaceae. The record is from RNAcentral.
CCUACGGGGGGCAGCAGUGGGGAAUAUUGGACAAUGGGGGGAACCCUGAUCCAGCCAUGCCGCGUGUGUGAAGAAGGCCCUCGGGUUGUAAAGCACUUUCAGUGAGGAAGAACGCCUGGUGGUUAAUACCCAUCAGGAAAGACAUCACUCACAGAAGAAGCACCGGCUAACUCCGUGCCAGCAGCCGCGGUAAUACGGAGGGUGCGAGCGUUAAUCGGAAUUACUGGGCGUAAAGCGCGCGUAGGUGGCUUGAUAAGCCGGUUGUGAAAGCCCCGGGCUCAACCUGGGAACGGCAUCCGGAACUGUCAAGCUAGAGUGCAGGAGAGGAAGGUAGAAUUCCCGGUGUAGCGGUGAAAUGCGUAGAGAUCGGGAGGAAUACCAGUGGCGAAGGCGGCCUUCUGGACUGACACUAACACUGAGGUGCGAAAGCGUGGGUAGCAAACAGGAUUAGAUACCCCUGUAGUC